CAAUUCCAAUUGCUUUUCCUUCUUUCUUCUUUCCUGCGUUUCUCUGCUUUCUUUUCCUGGGUUGGGUUCGAAGUAGGAAACAGGGGAAAACAGAGGGUGAGAGAGAGAGAGAGAGAGAAUAUGCGAGAGAAAGAGAAGGAAAAAAAAAAAGAGAGUGAAUGAGCUUUGAGCCUAGUUCGAAAGGGGGCAUAUACAGACCAGGGAGUACGUGAAGAUUUAGGGCUGUUGGGUGACUAUUUGUAAGGGAUGGAGUAUACCCAAGCCAUGUAUCUCGAAGAGUUGAACUACGUGAUUUAUUUUUGGGAGUUAUCGAUAAGCUUCCGAUUGCGCGGAGGAACCACUUUUUGAUAUCGGGGAUCAGCUUGGAGGACUAAGUAGGAACCUUAGAUAUUUAAUAGAUAUCCUUUCUGUAUAGAAUGGACUUUAGAAUGUUACGACCUGAAGAUUUUGUUUAGUUGUAUCACUGAUGUGAGAGCGAAAAAGAAAUCUCCGGAAAAGUGUAUAUACCUAUUAGAGUUGAUGGAUUGGUUAUAUACUUUGGAAAUUUAUGAGAAGUAAGUUUUUAUGUGAUAAUGGAUUCGAUGAAAUUUAGGAAAA
Molecule: non-coding RNA, 597 nt
Organism: Punica granatum (pomegranate)
Lineage: Eukaryota; Viridiplantae; Streptophyta; Magnoliopsida; Myrtales; Lythraceae
Source: RefSeq, a predicted model, not a curated record